CAAUAGCGUAUAUUAAAGUUGUUGCGGUUAAAAAGCUCGUAGUUGGAUUUCUGUUGGGAACGACCGGUCCGCCCAUUGGGUGUGUAUCUGGCUUGUUCUCGGCAUCUUCUUGGUGAACGUUGCUGCACUUGACUGUGUGGAGCGCUACCCAGGACUUUUACUUUGAGGAAAUUAGAGUGUUUCAAGCAGGCAUAUGCCUUGAAUACAUUAGCAUGGAAUAAUAAGAUAGGACUUUGGUCUAUUUUGUUGGUUUGCAGACCGAAGUAAUGAUUAAUAGGGAUAGUUGGGGGUAUUUAUAUUCCGAUGUCAGAGGUGAAAUUCUUAGAUUUUCGGAAGAUAAACUUAUGCGAAAGCAUUUACCAAGGAUGUUUNCAUUAA
Molecule: ribosomal RNA, 378 nt
Filed under: uncultured eukaryote
Lineage: Eukaryota
Description: partial 18S ribosomal RNA
Rfam family: Eukaryotic small subunit ribosomal RNA
Source: RNAcentral